UCUGGCCCCUCGGGUCCGAGUUGUAAUUUGUAGAGGAUGCUUUUGGUGAGGUGCCGCCCGAGUUCCCUGGAACGGGACGCCACAGAGGGUGAGAGCCCCGUCUGGCUGGCCGCCGAGCCUCUGUAAAGCUCCUUCGACGAGUCGAGUAGUUUGGGAAUGCUGCUCAAAAUGGGAGGUAUAUGUCUUCUAAAGCUAAAUAUUGGCCAGAGACCGAUAGCGCACAAGUAGAGUGAUCGAAAGAUGAAAAGCACCUUGAAAAGAGGGUUAAAUAGUACGUGAAAUUGUUGAAAGGGAAGCGCUUGUGACCAGACUUGGGCGCGGCGGAUCAUCCGGGGUUCUCUCCGGUGCACUUCGCCGCGUCUAGGCCAGCAUCAGUUCGCCGCGGGGGAAAAAGGCUUCGGGAACGUGGCUCCCCCGGGAGUGUUAUAGCCCGUUGCACAAUACCCUGCGGUGGACUGAGGACCGCGCAUCUGCAAGGAUGCUGGCGUAAUGGUCACCAGCGACCCGUCUUGAAACACGG
This 520-nucleotide ribosomal RNA is filed under the name Trichoderma gelatinosum. RNAcentral's name for it is "eukaryotic LSU rRNA". It matches the Rfam family "Eukaryotic large subunit ribosomal RNA", at positions 121 to 664 of the family's 3401-position model. The record is from RNAcentral. Lineage: Eukaryota; Fungi; Ascomycota; Sordariomycetes; Hypocreales; Hypocreaceae.